This 1338-nucleotide long non-coding RNA is filed under the name Bos indicus x Bos taurus (hybrid cattle). Its description in RNAcentral is "lncRNA (ENSBIXG00000006145.1)". The record is from RNAcentral. Lineage: Eukaryota; Metazoa; Chordata; Mammalia; Artiodactyla; Bovidae.
CUCCUAAGCCCAGAGAAGAGCUAUGGCUCAGCCUCUGCAUCUCCUGACCUUCCUUCUGCUCUGAAACGGCUCUAACAGAUUCAAGCUCCUCACUCUCACACAGCCACAGUCAGAGGCAAAAGUCAGUUGGCAACUUGGGGCAGGAGUUUCUCUUGUCCCUCCUUCCUCUUGUCAGAAUGAAAGUCAUUCUCAGAAGCUUCCAGAAAACUUUUCUUACCUAUCAUUGGCCAGAACAGGGUCACCUGCCCAUCACUCACAAGAUCAGGCAAAUACCCCACCUACAUCCCAGAUAUCAGGUAUCUCAUCUUGGCAGUAGGACCAGGCAGGGCUCUGUUAGUAAGAAGAGGGGAGGCUCUGAAGGAGGAAGUGGAUGGUGUUGAUCCCAGUAUUUUAUUUCUCCACUCCUUCUGUGUCUUCCUUAGGGAACUAGUUAUCUACAUGUUUGAUUCCCAUUGUCAGUCCAUUUUGCUCAACUGUUUCCCUCUUGUUUUCCAUGUUAUUUUCUCAUCCUGUUUUUCACAUCACUGACAGAGUUUUCUGUCAUGUUGAUUCUGUUCUUUGUAGUUUUUAGAUUCUGCAAAAGAAUUAAUUCUCUCCUCAAUUAUUUUCUGAGCUGCUGGAUCCUCCAACCCACUUCAUAUUCUGAUAUUUUAGUUCAUCUUUCAUCUCCUGUUUCAUCAGUCUUUUGCAAACUCUUGUUUCUUUCUUUUACUUUGUAGGAUCAAAUAUUUGUGUAGGCCUCUGCUAGCUUUUUUUUUUUUCCUGCUUUUUCAUGUUUGAUUGGAGUCUUUCUGUUUGUUCUGCUGUUUGCCUUGGCAAACCUGUGCGUUUGCAUUCCUUUGACCCUGCCUUCUGUCAGGACCCUGAAGUCUGAGCACAUGAGUUAGAGACCUACAUGUAAUGGCUUGUGUUCUUUGUGUGGUCUCACAGCUGCCUGGUGAGGGUGGGAGGAGAGCAUGGGCUCUGGGCAAUGGAAGUUGGAGAACCCUGCCUGCUCCACUUGCUCCAGUUCUAUGAAAACCACAGAGAAACAGUCUCCUCUGGGUGGGUCUUCCUGUUUCACUAGGAGUGCCUGUGUGGUUCUGCUCCUUUCCCCUCCUCCCUGUCACCCUGGGCCGGCUGUGAUGUGGCCUCCUUGUGGGUCAUGGACUUUCUGUCUCCUCACCCCUCUGCCCCGUGUCUGCUGCCUUUACCAUCUGGGUCUAUUGCUCCUGGAAUGGCGUUUCUCAAACUGACUCCCGUAAGAGAAAUACAUUCCAAGACAGAGAAGGUACAGAAGACUCUGGGAUCACCAGACUUCAGAGCAUGUUCAUGCUUUAUGAAGUAAAUACAAUUCUU